RNAcentral lists this microRNA precursor (58 nucleotides) under Ornithorhynchus anatinus (platypus). RNAcentral's name for it is "microRNA oan-mir-7415 precursor". Lineage: Eukaryota; Metazoa; Chordata; Mammalia; Monotremata; Ornithorhynchidae. The record is from miRBase by way of RNAcentral.
GAAUUGUUGUUCUCUGAGAGCGCGCCUGAGGACGUGUUAUCUGAGGAGAAGGAGUCUU